Octodon degus (degu) is the source of this 134-nucleotide small nucleolar RNA. NCBI's taxonomy places the organism in Eukaryota, Metazoa, Chordata, Mammalia, Rodentia, Octodontidae. The record is from Ensembl.
GCAUGGGUUUGGAUUUAUGGCAGGCCUGUCCCUGUAGGCCUCUCAUAGUGUCUUAUGCCAGAGCAAACUGUGACCCUGAACCAUUGCCUGGUCUCUGUCCAUAGGCUUCUGGCACCGAGGCAGGUUACACAGCA